This 447-nucleotide ribosomal RNA is filed under the name Priestia flexa. RNAcentral describes it as "bacterial SSU rRNA". It matches the Rfam family "Bacterial small subunit ribosomal RNA", at positions 558 to 1004 of the family's 1533-position model. The record is from RNAcentral. Lineage: Bacteria; Bacillati; Bacillota; Bacilli; Caryophanales; Bacillaceae.
GCGUAAGCGCGCGCAGGUGGUUUCUUAAGUCUGAUGUGAAAGCCCACGGCUCAACCGUGGAGGGUCAUUGGAAACUGGGGAACUUGAGUGCAGAAGAGGAAAGCGGAAUUCCACGUGUAGCGGUGAAAUGCGUAGAGAUGUGGAGGAACACCAGUGGCGAAGGCGACUUUCUGGUCUGUAACUGACACUGAGGCGCGAAAGCGUGGGGAGCAAACAGGAUUAGAUACCCUGGUAGUCCACGCCGUAAACGAUGAGUGCUAAGUGUUAGAGGGUUUCCGCCCUUUAUUGCUGAACUUAACGCAUUAAGCACUCCGCCUGGGGAGUACGGCCGCAAGACUGAAACUCAAAGGAAUUGACGGGGGCCCGCACAACCGGUGGACCUUGUGGUUUAAUUCAAACCAACGCAAAAACCCUUACCAGGUCUUGACAUCCUCUGACUUUUCUAAA